UACUGGAUAGAUAAGUGAUAGA
RNAcentral lists this microRNA (22 nucleotides) under Pristionchus pacificus. RNAcentral's name for it is "ppc-miR-8271-3p". The record is from miRBase by way of RNAcentral. Lineage: Eukaryota; Metazoa; Nematoda; Chromadorea; Rhabditida; Neodiplogasteridae.